AGAGUUUGAUUCUGGCUCAGGAUUAACGCUGGCGGCGUGCAUAACACAUGCAAGUCGAACGAUGAAACUUUAAUGAACCCUUCGGGAGGAAUUAAAGCGGAUUAGUGGCGAACGGGUGAGUAACGCGUGAGUAACCUGCCUUACACAAGGGGAUAGCCUUUGGAAACGAAGAAUAAUACCCUAUAAAACCAUAAAAGCACAUGCAAUUAUGGUCAAAGUAUUAGCGGUGUAAGAUGGACUUGCGUCUGAUUAGCUAGUUGGUGAGAUAAAAGCCCACCAAGGCAACGAUCAGUAGCCGGCUUGAGAGAGUGUACGGCCACAUUGGGACUGAGACACGGCCCAGACUCCUACGGGAGGCAGCAGUGGGGAAUUUUGCACAAUGGGGGAAACCCUGAUGCAGCGACGCCGCGUGAUUUAGGAGGCCUUCGGGUUGUAAAAAUCUUUUGUAUAGGAAGAAAAUGACAGUACUAUACGAAUAAGGUCCGGCUAAUUACGUGCCAGCAGCCGCGGUAAUACGUAAGGACCGAGCGUUGUCCGGAAUCAUUGGGCGUAAAGGGUACGUAGGCGGCUAGAAAAGUUAGAAGUCAAAGGCUAUAGCUCAACUAUAGUAAGCUUCUAAAACUAUUUAGCUUGAGAGAUGGAAGGGAAAGUGGAAUUCCUAGUGUAGCGGUGGAAUGCGCAGAUAUUAGGAGGAAUACCGGUGGCGAAGGCGACUUUCUGGCCAUUUUCUGACGCUGAGGUACGAAAGCGUGGGUAGCAAACAGGAUUAGAUACCCUGGUAGUCCACGCCGUAAACGAUGAGUGUUAGGUGUCUGGAGUCAAAUCUGGGUGCCGCAGCAAACGCAUUAAACACUCCGCCUGGGGAGUACGCACGCAAGUGUGAAACUCAAAGGAAUUGACGG
This 902-nucleotide ribosomal RNA is filed under the name uncultured bacterium. Its description in RNAcentral is "bacterial SSU rRNA". It matches the Rfam family "Bacterial small subunit ribosomal RNA", at positions 8 to 916 of the family's 1533-position model. The record is from RNAcentral.